This 487-nucleotide ribosomal RNA is filed under the name uncultured organism. RNAcentral describes it as "bacterial SSU rRNA". It matches the Rfam family "Bacterial small subunit ribosomal RNA", at positions 28 to 507 of the family's 1533-position model. The record is from RNAcentral.
GACGAACGCUGGCGGCGUGCUUAAUACAUGCAAGUCGAGCGAGGUUAUUGUUUCAAAGUCCUUCGGGGUGGCGAAAUUUUAACCUAGCGGCGGACGGGUGAGUAACGCGUGGGCAACCUGCCCUAAAGCCCGGGAUAACAGUGGGAAACUACUGCUAACACCGGAUGGUCUCAUUUUGUGGCAUCAUAAGAUGAGUAAAGGUUACGCUUUAGGAUGGGCCCGCGUCCCAUUAGCUAGUUGGUGAGGUAACUGCUCACCAAGGCGACGAUGGGUAGCCGGCCUGAGAGGGUGGACGGCCACACUGGGACUGAGACACGGCCCAGACUCCUACGGGAGGCAGCAGUAGGGAAUAUUGCGCAAUGGAGGGAACUCUGACGCAGCGACGCCGCGUGAGCGAUGAAGGUCUUCGGAUCGUAAAGCUCUGUCCUCAGGGAAGAAGGUUAUUAACUUGACGGUACCUGAGGAGGAAGCCCCGGCUAACUACGUG